This 494-nucleotide ribosomal RNA is filed under the name uncultured bacterium. Its description in RNAcentral is "partial 16S ribosomal RNA". It matches the Rfam family "Bacterial small subunit ribosomal RNA", at positions 28 to 507 of the family's 1533-position model. The record is from RNAcentral.
GACGAACGCUGGCGGCGUGCUUAACACAUGCAAGUCGAACGGUGAAGCGCCUUCCUUUUUGGUGGGUGUGGAUGAGUGGCGAACGGGUGAGUAACACGUGAGUAACCUGCCCCCUUCUUCUGGAUAACCGCGUGAAAGUGUGGCUAAUACGGGAUAUUCUGGGUCUGUCGCAUGAUGGGUCUGGGAAAGAUAUUGUUUCGGUGGGGGAUGGGCUCGCGGCCUAUCAGCUUGUUGGUGGGGUGAUGGCCUACCAAGGCGGUGACGGGUAGCCGGCCUGAGAGGGUGGACGGUCACACUGGGACUGAGACACGGCCCAGACUCCUACGGGAGGCAGCGGUGGGGAAUAUUGCACAAUGGGCGCAAGCCUGAUGCAGCGACGCCGCGUGAGGGAUGGAGGCCUGCGGGGUGUGAACCUCUUUCGCCAGUGAAGCAGGCCUGCCUCGUUUGUGGGUGGGUUGACGGUAGCUGGAUAAGAAGCGCCGGCUAACUACGUG